GCCGGGAUGGCUCAGUGGUUGAGCGUCAGCCUAUGAACCAGGAGGUCACGGUUCAGUUCCCUGUCAGGGCA
This 71-nucleotide transfer RNA is filed under the name Myotis lucifugus (little brown bat). It matches the Rfam family "tRNA". From Rfam's summary of the family: Transfer RNA (tRNA) molecules are approximately 80 nucleotides in length. Their secondary structure includes four short double-helical elements and three loops (D, anti-codon, and T loops). The record is from Rfam by way of RNAcentral. Lineage: Eukaryota; Metazoa; Chordata; Mammalia; Chiroptera; Vespertilionidae.